UGCGUGCGUGUGUGUGUGUGUGUGUGUUUGCCAAUGCUGCAUAUCAGUGAGAUUAGCCCUCUAGCUGUGCUGUAGCAGGAAUGUGCACCGUGGUCAGACCACAGGGACUUUUCUGUUAAUUCUGGAAUCAUUCAUUUCUAGUAACAGACAGAGACUCAUACAUACACAGGUUAUUUUAGUAACAGACAGAGACUCAUACACAGGUUAUUUUAGUAACAGACAGAGACUCAUACACAGGUUAUUUUAGUAACAGACAGAGACUCAUACACAGGUUAUUUUAGUAACAGACAGAGACUCAUACACAGGUUAUUUUAGUAACAGACAGAGACUCAUACACAGGUUAUUUUAGUAACAGACAGAGACUCAUACCCAGGUUAUUUUAGUAACAGACAGAGACUCAUACCCAGGUUAUUUUAGUAACAGACAGAGACUCAUACCCAGGUUAUUUUAGUAACAGACAGAGACUCAUACCCAGGUUAUUUUAGUAACAGACAGAGACUCAUACACAGGUUAUUUUAGUAACAGACAGAGACUCAUACACAGGUUAUCUUAGUAACAGACAGAGACUCAUACCCAGGUUAUUUUAGUAACAGACAGAGACUCAUACCCAGGUUAUUUUAGUAACAGACAGAGACUCAUACACAGGUUAUUUUAGUAACAGACAGAGACUCAUACCCAGGUUAUUUUAGUAACAGACAGAGACUCAUACCCAGGUUAUUUUCACAUAUGAAAGUGCAUUGAGAAGACACUUCCGUCCGUCUGUCUUUUCAUUCAAGACUCCUCCACCUCUUCACAUGGAAGCUUAUGACUACAUUCCUUAAAACUUUAUUUGCUACUUGUGGGGAAUUGUCAUGCAUUGUGCUUGCUACCUGAUAGUGUCUUAUUAACAUGGUUAAUGUUGAAGGUACUAGUAGUGCUCCUGUUUCAGACGCUGGACUGUUCUCUAUAUCUCUGGCUCCUUUGUUCUCCUGCCUCUCCUCUUCCUGUUCCUCCU
Oncorhynchus keta (chum salmon) is the source of this 994-nucleotide long non-coding RNA. RefSeq lists it as uncharacterized. Lineage: Eukaryota; Metazoa; Chordata; Actinopteri; Salmoniformes; Salmonidae. The record is from RefSeq and is a predicted model, not a curated record. The transcript has 3 exons.